Molecule: ribosomal RNA, 506 nt
Filed under: uncultured bacterium
Lineage: Bacteria
Description: partial 16S ribosomal RNA
Rfam family: Bacterial small subunit ribosomal RNA
Source: RNAcentral
AGUGAACGCUGGCGGUAGGCCUAACACAUUCAAGUCGAACGGCAGCACAGGAGAGCUUGCUCUCUGGGUGGCGAGUGGCGGACGGGUGAGGAAUACAUCGGAAUCUACUCUGUCGCGGGGGAUAACGUAGGGAAACUUACGCUAAUACCGCAUACGACCUACGGGUGAAAGCAGGGGAUCUUCGGACCUUGCGCGAUUGAAUGAGCCGAUGUCGGAUUAGCUAGUUGGCGGGGUAAAGGCCCACCAAGGCGACGAUCCGUAGCUGGUCUGAGAGGAGGAUCAGCCACACUGGAACUAAGCCACGGUCCAGACUCCUACGGGAGGCAGCAGUGGGGAAUAUUGGACAAUGGGCGCAAGCCUGAUCCAGCCAUACCGCGGGGGUGAAGAAGGCCUUCGGGUUGUAAAGCCCUUUUGUUGGGAAAGAAAUCCAGCUGGCUAAUACCCGGUUGGGAUGACGGUACCCAAAGAAUAAGCACCGGCUAACUUCGUGCCAGCCGCCGCCGUAA